GAUGAACGCUGGCGGCGUGCCUAAUACAUGCAAGUCGAGCGAAUGGAUUAAGAGCUUGCUCUUAUGAAGUUAGCGGCGGACGGGUGAGUAACACGUGGGUAACCUACCCAUAAGACUGGGAUAACUCCGGGAAACCGGGGCUAAUACCGGAUAAUAUUUUGAACUGCAUAGUUCGAAAUUGAAAGGCGGCUUCGGCUGUCACUUAUGGAUGGACCCGCGUCGCAUUAGCUAGUUGGUGAGGUAACGGCUCACCAAGGCGACGAUGCGUAGCCGACCUGAGAGGGUGAUCGGCCACACUGGGACUGAGACACGGCCCAGACUCCUACGGGAGGCUG
Molecule: ribosomal RNA, 335 nt
Filed under: uncultured Bacillota bacterium
Lineage: Bacteria; Bacillati; Bacillota
Description: bacterial SSU rRNA
Rfam family: Bacterial small subunit ribosomal RNA
Source: RNAcentral